This 75-nucleotide transfer RNA is filed under the name Puccinia triticina 1-1 BBBD Race 1. It matches the Rfam family "tRNA". Rfam says of the family: Transfer RNA (tRNA) molecules are approximately 80 nucleotides in length. Lineage: Eukaryota; Fungi; Basidiomycota; Pucciniomycetes; Pucciniales; Pucciniaceae. The record is from Rfam by way of RNAcentral.
GUGGAUAUAGCUGAUCAACGGUAGAGCAACCCAGCAUGCAUUGGGGAGAUGCGGGUUCGAUUCCCCCUGUCCGCA